AACGAACGCUGGCGGCGCGUUUUAAGCAUGCAAGUCGAACGGCAAGACUGGUAGCAAUACUGGUCUGAGAGUGGCGAACGGGUGAGUAAGACGUAGGUGAUCUACCCCUGGAUGGGGGAUAGUCCGUGGAAACACGGGGUAAUACCGCAUGAGGCCUUGUGGGUGAAGCCAUGAGGUGAAAGCUCCAAUUGGAGCGUCUGGGGAUGAGCCUGCGGCCCAUUAGGCAGUUGGCGGGGUAAUGGCCCACCAAACCGACGAUGGGUAGCCGGCCUGAGAGGGUGUACGGCCACACUGGAACUGAGACACGGUCCAGACUCCUACGGGAGGCAG
This 330-nucleotide ribosomal RNA is filed under the name uncultured Spirochaetota bacterium. Its description in RNAcentral is "bacterial SSU rRNA". It matches the Rfam family "Bacterial small subunit ribosomal RNA", at positions 29 to 351 of the family's 1533-position model. The record is from RNAcentral. Lineage: Bacteria; Pseudomonadati; Spirochaetota.